GAUCAAGCGCCUUAAGGGCAUUCGGUGGAUGCCUUGGCGUCGAGAGGCGAUGAAGGACGUGGUACGCUGCGAUAAGCUACGGGGAGCUGCGAACAAGCUUUGAUCCGUAGAUUUCCGAAUGGGGAAACCCGGCCCGCAAGGGUCAUCCCGCAAGGGAAGCGAACCCGGGGAAGUGAAACAUCUCAGUACCCGGAGGAAAGGACAUCAACAGAGACUCCGCUAGUAGUGGCGAGCGAACGCGGACUAGGCCAGUGCUUCGAUUGUAAGAACCGGAACACUCUGGAAAGAGUGGCCAUAGCGGGUGAUAGCCCC
RNAcentral lists this non-coding RNA (312 nucleotides) under Reticulomyxa filosa. RNAcentral describes it as "Bacterial large subunit ribosomal RNA". It matches the Rfam family "Bacterial large subunit ribosomal RNA", at positions 1 to 374 of the family's 2925-position model. Lineage: Eukaryota; Foraminifera; Reticulomyxidae. The record is from Rfam by way of RNAcentral.